Non-coding RNA from Odocoileus virginianus texanus, 433 nucleotides. The record is from RefSeq and is a predicted model, not a curated record. Lineage: Eukaryota; Metazoa; Chordata; Mammalia; Artiodactyla; Cervidae.
GCGGCCGCGGGGAGCCUGGUGCGCAUGCGCCGAGCUCUUGCGCAGACUCGGGGCGGAGGUUUUGUCAGAAAGGUUGACGCAAUCGCGCAUUUUCGGGGAGGGGACUUGUGGACCCAGAUGAACUCCUGACUCAUCUUCCUUCCCAAAGAUGGUGACAUGGGAAGCGUCCAGCCACCUGUCCAGAUCUGGGUCUCCAGCACCUGCUGUCGCUCUACUGCCAGUUAACUGCAUGUUCUUCUGUGGAUCCUGGCAGGAGAACUGUUUGAAGAUUCUUGCAAAUGUAGCAAAUCUUUUGUUAAAUGAUGAGUGUGUCAGUUCAUUUAUAACAGAGACAUCAACAAUCUAAAUCAAGGCAUAACAUUGGACAAAGGGGCCUUCUCAUUUGUUUCUGCCACUCGGAUUCUAUUAUUUUCAACAAUAAAACUAAGAAUGC